This 406-nucleotide ribosomal RNA is filed under the name uncultured bacterium. RNAcentral describes it as "partial 16S ribosomal RNA". It matches the Rfam family "Bacterial small subunit ribosomal RNA", at positions 30 to 526 of the family's 1533-position model. The record is from RNAcentral.
AUUGAACGCUGGCGGCGUGCCUAACACAUGCAAGUCGAGCGAGCGGCGGACGGGUGAGCAAUGUAUGGGGAUGUGCCCAAUCGAGGGGGAUAACUACUGGAAACGGUGGCUAAUACCGCUUACUACCGGUUGAACCCAUAUGGGAUUAGCGAGUAGGGGGGGUAAAGGCUCACCUAGGCGACGAUCUCUAGCUGGUCUGAGAGGAUGAUCAGCCACACUGGGACUGAGACACGGCCCAGACUCCUACGGGAGGCAGCAGUGGGGAAUAUUGGACAAUGGGCGCAAGCCUGAUGCAGCCAUGCCGCGUGUAUGAAGAAGGCCUUAGGGUUGUAAAGUACUUUCAGCGGGGAGGCGUUACCCGCAGAAGAAGCCCCGGCUAACUCCGUGCCAGCAGCCGCGGUAAUAC